GGGAGAGGGAGGGAGGUCAGCCGGUGCUACAGCAGUGCGAUUAACCAGCGGGGAGAGAGAGAGAAAGAGAGGAGAGAGAGGAAAACUUGAUCCACCGCAGCAACAAGUCACCGGAGCCCCCCACCGCCGUGCGGGAGAUGCAGCCACAACCGCAGUUCUUCGCUCGGGGACCCCCCUCCGCACAGCACGCAGAGCCCCGCCGCCGCCCCCUCGCACGCCGGACGGAGCUGUCCUCCCCACCCGGGGAAGAAGGACCGGGGUGAAGGGGAGUAGAGGGGGGGAAAGGGAAGGGAGAGAAGAAAAAAAAAAAAAAAAAAAAAAAAAAAGAAUUAAAAAGAAGCCAAGCGCAGAUUUACCUCAGCCGCGCAGGCAGUGAAUCACUUCCAUC
Long non-coding RNA from Tyto alba (common barn owl), 388 nucleotides. RefSeq lists it as uncharacterized. The record is from RefSeq and is a predicted model, not a curated record. NCBI's taxonomy places the organism in Eukaryota, Metazoa, Chordata, Aves, Strigiformes, Tytonidae. The transcript is spliced from 2 exons.